CAUGAAAGAAAAGAAGAACGAAAUGAUUCUUAUUAUAUGCUAUGAUUUUAAACUAUGAGAACCUCAUGCAUUUUUGUAUGUCAUGUGCACCGGGAUACUUCUCUACUAUGAUAUGUUAUGUUAUGUUUAUA
Molecule: long non-coding RNA, 131 nt
Organism: Cucurbita maxima (winter squash)
Lineage: Eukaryota; Viridiplantae; Streptophyta; Magnoliopsida; Cucurbitales; Cucurbitaceae
Exons: 3
Source: RefSeq, a predicted model, not a curated record